This 433-nucleotide ribosomal RNA is filed under the name uncultured bacterium. RNAcentral describes it as "partial 16S ribosomal RNA". It matches the Rfam family "Bacterial small subunit ribosomal RNA", at positions 29 to 507 of the family's 1533-position model. The record is from RNAcentral.
AACGAACGCUGGCGGCAUGCCUAACACAUGCAAGUCGAACGAGACCUUCGGGUCUAGUGGCGCACGGGUGCGUAACGCGUGGGAACCUGCCCUUAGGUUCGGAAUAACUCCCCGAAAGGGGUGCUAAUACCGGAUAAUGUCUUCGGACCAAAGAUUUAUCGCCUUUGGAUGGGCCCGCGUUGGAUUAGCUAGUUGGUAGGGUAAAAGCCUACCAAGGCGACGACCCAUAGCUGGUCUGAGAGGAUGAUCAGCCACACUGGGACUGAGACACGGCCCAGACUCCUACGGGAGGCAGCAGUGGGGAAUAUUGGACAAUGGGCGAAAGCCUGAUCCAGCAAUGCCGCGUGAGUGAUGAAGGCCUUAGGGUUGUAAAGCUCUUUUAACCGGGAUGAUAAUGACAGUACCGGGAGAAUAAGCUCCGGCUAACUCCGUG